This is a long non-coding RNA of Rosa rugosa (rugosa rose), 3296 nucleotides long. RefSeq lists it as uncharacterized. Lineage: Eukaryota; Viridiplantae; Streptophyta; Magnoliopsida; Rosales; Rosaceae. The transcript is spliced from 5 exons. The record is from RefSeq and is a predicted model, not a curated record.
GUUAACAUUAAAAAGGAAAAGAACCUCACCUUCUCUCUCGUCUCUCUCGUUCUGCACAGAAGAAGAGAGGAGAGAGAAACGAAAAUACAGAGACAGGAAAGCGCAGAGAUAGAGAGAGUGAGUCUCUGAGGACGGACGGACGGACGGGCGGUGUGGCUUUUGAAGGCAGCUAUGCCAGUUGGCUGGCGUCCAAGCGACGGACGGGAAGUCAUCCGUCGCCGGCUUCUGUGGAUGUGGUUGGCCGCACACGACGGGUGAGGAUGCGGCUGGCUGGCUUUUCUAGGCUGCGAGGCGUAGAGUGCGUACGGGAUCAAGGUGUGGUUGGGUUCCGUUGUGGCGCUGACCUCCUAUCCUGGUCUUGUCUGCGGCGUCGGUCGGUUGCCGGUGUUCAGGUUUAAGCGGAUCUUACAGUCACUUGAGUUUUCAGUUCGCCGGUCUUGUGUGGAUGUGGUUGGAUGGUGUGGCUUUGGAAGGAAGGCUUCGAUGUCCUUUUCUUGUCUGGACAAGGAUGUCGUCCUUCACCGGAACCAAAUGAAGGAUGGGGAUGUGGAUAUGGUUGGACGGACGGACGGACGGCGCGGCAUGGAUCAAGGAACACUGGUUGUGUUUGGUUGGACGGACGGCGCUGGAUCAAGGUGCACUGGUUGGGUUGGGUGGUGCCGGUGACCUCCUGGUCUUGUCUGCGGGCUCCGACGGUUGCCGGCUUUCAGGGAUAGGCGGAUCUUAAGUCACUUGAGUUUACUGUUCGCAUACCGGAAUCCGGCAGCUCUUAUCACACGUACCGGAAACUGGCAGCCACCUCCGUCAGCCACCCACCCAACGUACUCUUCCUCUAUGUAGCUUCAGGCCGUUGAGGGAGUCAUUGGCGUGGUUCUGGCUUCCGAUACCUCCCUGAGACUGGCUGAGAAAUGAAGUUAACUCAGUUUGGACAAAUCGAAGUCUUGGAGUGCUGUGAUCAUAAGAAGGAACUGGCUAAUCUGAAAGAUAGAUCUAAGGCAGGAGCUCACAGACAAUAGAAUUUUAGGCUUGCUGAGGGUGGUUAUGGAUGUUUCUACAAAGGUUUCUUGCGAAGAGGGAAGGUAUGUCAUCCUUAUCUCGUUCAUGAUGGCUCUCUGUCCUUUGGCAUUAUUUGUUUCCAGAUAGUUGCAGGGAAAAGCUUGGAAGAAGGAAUUUUGUAUGAUGGUGAGAAGAGAAAAAUUCAUCUUGCCAAUUGAAAUUUAGUUUGUUGGUCUACAUGUAUUGUGGGAUUGUUUUGAAGAAUUUUUUUCUGAUGAUCCAAUCUUUACAUGUUAGAGCUAGCUGGGGGCUGUUGCAAAAUGAUGAAAAGCUUUGGUCCCAGGUUGUAAUUGAUAAGUACUUACAAGGAAAUAACAUCUUGGACGCUAAGAUUGCGGAUUUCUUUGCUAGUUCAAGUAUCUGGAAACAGAUAAUAUCUGUGGUUCAACUUUACCUAAUAAUUCGAGGUGGGGUUAGGAAUAGAGAAUAAUUCUUGUGGUAUGCUGACCGGACAGUUCUCGGUUUUUCUUGGUUUUCAACCAGAUUAACAGCAACUUCUCUGAGCUGAAUUUCUACUGGUUAGUUCUGCAAGGUGUUCAAGAUUAUUUGUAAAAUCUAAUCACACACUCAGGGUGGGGACUAUUAUUUCUGGCAUAUUUCUUCCAAUUGAGUUUAUUUUCCUGUUGAGACGGGUUAUGGGACUCACUUUCCUCAGGGGUCUUGGUCAAUUUGGGAUUGGGAUAUUCCUGUGGCGCUGAAGUCUUUCUUAUGGCUUCUGAUUCAUGGUAAAUUGAUGUCUAAUGAAGCUGAGGUGGAAAGAGGAUUAUCUCAGUUACAAAAGACUUUUGCUGAUUCUUCGAUUCUGAGUGAUUGUUUUGUAUCUGAAGUCUCAGUCCAUAAUGUCUCAUGAAAUCCCUUGGAGUUGCAUCUUUUGCCAUGCUUUUCGACAUUUAUGGAGGCGGCUGUUCAAGUUGAUUUUUAUGCUGGAUUUGUCUUUGUGCUCAGUCAUGCAUAGUUUCAAAUUUUCCACUCUUCGGUAUGAAGCCAAGAGUGACUUGAGUGCUAGCGUACAGUUAGUGGGGAUGAAAUGGAUUAAAAUGACAACGAGUUUCAGAGAGACAGGGAGAACAAGGAAAACUCCAAGAAAUUCUGAUUUGCAGUUCCUGAGGUGAAGGUUUGGGAUCAAAAAUAGUUUCAGUCUCAUCAUGUUUCCUCUAUCAGCUCAGGAGUCUUCUUGUGUAGCCUCCGUUUCUUCAAUCUUCAGAGGAUUCUCAACAGACUGCAGGGUAGUGUGCUUUACUUCCAGGAGCCUCUGUUUCUUCAAUCUUCAGAGGAGUUUGAACAGAGCUUUCCAGAUGGCUGUGAAGUGUGAUAAGUGUGCUGUGAAGUGAUUCGUCCACGGAUCUGGCUAAACAUGUGAGGGCAAAACAUGGCAGCUUCAAAUGCACCUUUAAUGGUUGCAAGAAAGCCGGUUUUGAGACAUUCAAUGCCUUGGUCGCACAUCAGGCGGUGCACAAGCCGAAGUUCCAGUGUGGGAAGAACAAAUGCAAGAUGAUAUUUGAGUCAGCUGGUGAACUAAAGUCACACAAGUGUUCAGUACUUCAGUUGUAUUGAUUUAAAGCUUUAACUUGUUAGAUUGACUGGUUUUUAAUUUCAAACAAGAUGUGUUGAUUUAAACCUUAAGUCUGAACAUAUGAUGACCUUGAGACACUUGUACAUUCAAAGUUGGCGAAGCACCAAAAGCAGAAUGUUAAUGAAACUCUAAAGGUCAUUACCUUAGUUCAUGCCAAAAUUUAUCAGUUCGUUCAAGCAGCAAAGGGCCCAACGGUUUAAGGAAGUUAUCUCAGAUAUUAUGCUGCCAUGGUUGAAGAGACACGAUCCUUGUUUUCAAAGCUUUGCAAAAUAGUGAGGCAGCCACUUGAACAAAAAUGGAUGGAUCUUAGUCCCCAAGGAGAGCCAGCAGAUCUAUGCAAAUCCACGGUUCUAUUCUCUGCAAUAGUCUAUCUUUUAGACCAUCAUUUAUCAGCACGCUCCAAAAAUUCAGAGACAAGUUUAACAGUACUGAUGUCUCCUAAAAUCAAUGAAGAGAUUCACGAUAUGCAGUACAUGAAGAGAUUGACCAAUAAAGCCAUCUUUCAUUUGAUCCCUACUCAAGGGGUUGUAGGAGAAAAGACCAAGGUGCUAUACUGCUACCCACCAUGAUCGUAAGAUUGUGCACUGAGCUCGAGGAUCUGCAUCAUGAAUGCCUCAAAUGUUAAUAAACUUUUGUGCCACUAAUUCCAUUAGCUCUGAUACCUCUA